GCUAGGUGUGGUGGCAUGUGCCUGUAGUCCCAGCUACUUGGGAGGCUGAAGCUAGAAGACUGAUUGAGUCCAGGAGUUCUGGGCUGUAGGGCGCUAUGCUGAUCGAGUGUCGGCACUAAGUCCAACAUGGUGACCUCCUGGGAGCCAGGGACCACCAGGUUGCCUAAGAAGGGAUGAACUGGCCCAGGUCGGAAACAGAACUGGUCAACUCUUGUGCUGAUCAGUAGCGGGACUGCACCUGUGAAUAGCCACUGCACUCUAGCCUGGGCAGCAUAGCAAGACCCUGUCUCC
Molecule: signal recognition particle RNA, 291 nt
Filed under: Carlito syrichta (Philippine tarsier)
Lineage: Eukaryota; Metazoa; Chordata; Mammalia; Primates; Tarsiidae
Description: Metazoan signal recognition particle RNA (ENSTSYG00000032104.1)
Rfam family: Metazoan signal recognition particle RNA
About the family: The signal recognition particle (SRP) is a universally conserved ribonucleoprotein.
Source: RNAcentral